ACCUGCAAAGAACUUACAAAGAAAUUUGUCAUGCAAGACAAAAACUGUCAAUAUUUGUGAUCCCAUGAGUAUUGUCAACCGCGUUGUCAUUCUCAACACAACGUUAAAAAAGCAUUAUUACGUCUUUCAGGCAACGCGAAAGCUUAAUGCGACACAAGAGGUGUUACUAAAAGUCGAAAUUACAGCAAACAUUGCAUCGCUUUAGCCGAAGGUAG
Paramuricea clavata is the source of this 215-nucleotide non-coding RNA. NCBI's taxonomy places the organism in Eukaryota, Metazoa, Cnidaria, Anthozoa, Malacalcyonacea, Plexauridae. The record is from the annotation of a GenBank genome assembly.